ACCACGGCCCUUUUCAGGGCCACCCAAAUCUUUCCCAAAAGGGCUAU
Branchiostoma floridae (Florida lancelet) is the source of this 47-nucleotide non-coding RNA. The record is from Rfam. NCBI's taxonomy places the organism in Eukaryota, Metazoa, Chordata, Leptocardii, Amphioxiformes, Branchiostomatidae.